Molecule: ribosomal RNA, 253 nt
Filed under: uncultured bacterium
Lineage: Bacteria
Description: partial 16S ribosomal RNA
Rfam family: Bacterial small subunit ribosomal RNA
Source: RNAcentral
UACGGGGGGAGCAAGCGUUGUUCGGAUUUACUGGGCGUAAAGGGCGCGUAGGCGGCGUGACAAGUCACUUGUGAAAUCUCCGGGCUUAACUCGGAACGGUCAAGUGAUACUGUCGUGCUAGAGUACAGAAGGGGCAACUGGAAUUCUCGGUGUAGCGGUGAAAUGCGUAGAUAUCGAGAGGAACACCAGUGGCGAAGGCGAGUCCCUGGACAACACCUGACACUGAGGCACGAAAGCUAGGGGAGCAAACAGG